CUUGUCCUGUCUCUGGGCACCACUGAAAAAACCCUGGCUUCCUCCUGUUUGCACUGUCCCUUCAGGUAUUUAUAUUCGUUUAUAUAAAAUCCCCCUUGAGCCUUCUUUUCUCCAGGCUGAACAGUCCCAGCUCUCUCAGCCUCUCCUCAUAGGAGAGAUGCUCCAGUCCCUCAUCACCUCUGUGACCCAUUGCUGGACUCUCUCUAAUAAAUCCAUGUUUCACUUCUACUUGGGGAGCCCAUAACUGGAAACAGUACUCCAGGUGUUGCCUCACCAGUGCUGAGAAGAGAAGGUUCACAUCCCUCCACCUGCUGGCAACACUCCUCCUUAUGCAGCCCAGGAUGCUGUUACCUUUUUUUUUUUUUUUUUUCUCUUUCCUCCCCACAAGGGCAUAUUGCUGGCUCGUCUUCAACUUGGUAUCCACCAGGACCCCUAGGUCCUUUUUCUGAGAAGCUGCCUUCUAGCUGGGCAGCCCACAGCACAUACUGGUGCAUGAGGUUGCGCCUCCCCAGGUGCAGGACUGUGCACUUCUUGUUGAACUUCAUGAAGUUCCUGACAGCCCAUUUCUCCAGCAUUCUUUGUAAAGAAGAUGGUACUUGCUAAUUUGUUUUGCUGAUUUUUGUACCAUUUUUAGGUGUGGCAGAAGGAGAUUUUGUGACAGAUACAUUCUAAUAAGUCUUCAGCAACAACCUUCCCUGAAUGUAGGAAAUAACAUGCACCUCUAACAAAUUCCUGCAAAUCUGUUUGAUUCAGAUCAGUUUUCUACCAUUAAUUGUUUACUAUUUAAACAUUUCUUCAUGCCAGAUGGAAUGCAGUAAGUCUGGAAACUCAAACUAACAGUGAUUGAUUUUCAGAAAACUGACAUAAAGGUUUUGGAGCUAUUUUCUUAGGGUGUCAUCCAGAUAAUUUUAAAAUAUUUGUGGUUUUUUUUUUUAGUUUUUAUUCUUUCAAGUAAAGAGCAUUACAAAUCUGUAUGGUGGAAGAUAUCCAGCACAGAAGAAAAAGUUUGGAAAGAUUGUAAGAAAGUUUGGCACAGUGUAGUUCAGAAUUGCAUUAUAAUCUGCUCUUGGUUGUCAGGAUGUAUUUCCUUUCCAGGACUGGAAGAAAAGCAUUAAAAGGAUCAUAGAAUGGUUUGGGUUGGAAGGGACCUUAAUGAUCAUCUAGUUCCAACCCCCCUGCCAUGGGCAGGGCCACCUCCCACAAGACCAGGUUGCUCAAAGCUCCAUCUAGCCUGGUCUUGAAUGGAGCUUCCAGAACUUCUCUGGGCAACCUGUUCCAGUGCCUCACCACCCACAGUUAAGAAUUUCUUCUUAAUGUCUAAUCUAAAUCUCCCCUCUUUCAGUUUAAAACUGUGACUCCUUGUCCUAUCGCUACACUCCCUGAUAAAGAGUCCCUCCCCAUGUAGGGGCUAGAGCUCCUAGCCCCUCUCAUGUAGGGGAGAGACUCCUCAUGUAGGCCCUAGGGCAUCUAGGUACUGGAAGGUCUCCCCAGAGCCUUCUCUUCUCGUGGCUGAACAACCCCAGCUCUCUCAGCCUGUCUUCAUGGGAGAGGUGUGCCAGCCCUCUGAUCAUCUUUGUGGCCCUCCGCUGGACCCAUUUCAACA
Molecule: long non-coding RNA, 1603 nt
Filed under: Calidris pygmaea (Spoon-billed sandpiper)
Lineage: Eukaryota; Metazoa; Chordata; Aves; Charadriiformes; Scolopacidae
Description: lncRNA (ENSCPGG00000013827.1)
Source: RNAcentral